CUAGCUACAGGCUUAACACAUGCAAGUCGAGGGGUAUCAGGAAGAAAGCUUGCUUUCUUUGCUGGCGACCGGCGCACGGGUGAGUAACACGUAUCCAACCUGCCCUUUACUCGGGGAUAGCCUUUCGAAAGAAAGAUUAAUACCCGAUGGCAUAAUGAUUCCGCAUGGUUUCAUUAUUAAAGGAUUCCGGUAAAGGAUGGGGAUGCGUUCCAUUAGGUUGUUGGUGAGGUAACGGCUCACCAAGCCUUCGAUGGAUAGGGGUUCUGAGAGGAAGGUCCCCCACAUUGGAACUGAGACACGGUCCAAACUCCUACGGGAGGCAGCAGUGAGGAAUAUUGGUCAAUGGGCGCUAGCCUGAACCAGCCAAGUAGCGUGAAGGAUGAAGGCUCUAUGGGUCGUAAACUUCUUUUAUAUAAGAAUAAAGUGCAGUAUGUAUACUGUUUUGUAUGUAUUAUAUGAAUAAGGAUCGGCUAACUCCGUGCCAGCAGCCGCGGUAAUACGGAGGAUCCGAGCGUUAUCCGGAUUUAUUGGGUUUAAAGGGAGCGUAGGUGGACUGGUAAGUCAGUUGUGAAAGUUUGCGGCUCAACCGUAAAAUUGCAGUUGAUACUGUCAGUCUUGAGUACAGUAGAGGUGGGCGGAAUUCGUGGUGUAGCGGUGAAAUGCUUAGAUAUCACGAAGAACUCCGAUUGCGAAGGCAGCUCACUGGACUGCAACUGACACUGAUGCUCGAAAGUGUGGGUAUCAAACAGGAUUAGAUACCCUGGUAGUCCACACAGUAAACGAUGAAUACUCGCUGUUUGCGAUAUACAGUAAGCGGCCAAGCGAAAGCAUUAAGUAUUCCACCUGGGGAGUACGCCGGCAACGGUGAAACUCAAAGGAAUUGACGGGGGCCCGCACAAGCGGAGGAACAUGUGGUUUAAUUCGAUGAUACGCGAGGAACCUUACCCGGGCUUAAAUUGCAGUGGAAUGAUGUGGAAACAUGUCAGUGAGCAAUCACCGCUGUGAAGGUGCUGCAUGGUUGUCGUCAGCUCGUGCCGUGAGGUGUCGGCUUAAGUGCCAUAACGAGCGCAACCCUUAUCUUUAGUUACUAACAGGUUAUGCUGAGGACUCUAGAGAGACUGCCGUCGUAAGAUGUGAGGAAGGUGGGGAUGACGUCAAAUCAGCACGGCCCUUACGUCCGGGGCUACACACGUGUUACAAUGGGGGGUACAGAAGGCAGCUAGCGGGUGACCGUAUGCUAAUCCCAAAAUCCUCUCUCAGUUCGGAUCGAAGUCUGCAACCCGACUUCGUGAAGCUGGAUUCGCUAGUAAUCGCGCAUCAGCCACGGCGCGGUGAAUACGUUCCCGGGCCUUGUACACACCGCCCGUCAAGCCAUGGGAGCCGGGGGUACAUGAAGUACGUAACCGCAAGGAUCGUCCUAGGGUAAAACUGAA
This 1433-nucleotide ribosomal RNA is filed under the name uncultured organism. Its description in RNAcentral is "SSU rRNA". It matches the Rfam family "Bacterial small subunit ribosomal RNA". The record is from RNAcentral.